RNAcentral lists this RNase P RNA (390 nucleotides) under Alphaproteobacteria bacterium. RNAcentral's name for it is "RNase P RNA component class A". It matches the Rfam family "Bacterial RNase P class A". Rfam says of the family: Ribonuclease P (RNase P) is a ubiquitous endoribonuclease, found in archaea, bacteria and eukarya as well as chloroplasts and mitochondria. Its best characterised activity is the generation of mature 5'-ends of tRNAs by cleaving the 5'-leader elements of precursor-tRNAs. The record is from RNAcentral. Lineage: Bacteria; Pseudomonadati; Pseudomonadota; Alphaproteobacteria.
CCAGAGAGUCGGGUGACCGCAGGCGUCAAGCUUGAGGAAAGUCCGGGCUCCACGGAAACACGGUGCCGGAUAACGUCCGGCGCGCCUUCUUGGUUUCAAGGGGGUGCAGGGAAAGUGCCGCAGAAAACAUACCGCCUUCUUCGGCCAAAAGCCGGGAGGGCAAGGGUGAAAAGGCGAGGUAAGAGCUCACCGCCGGACUGGCAACAGGACGGGCAGGGAAAACCCCACCGGGAGCAAGGCCAAAUAGGGAAGGCAUGUCUUCAAUGACAGAACCGUUUCCGGUUCCGCCUUCCGGGUCGGCUGCUAGAGGUGCGCGGCGACGCGCAUCGCAGAUGAAUGGUCACCCCCUUGCAAAAGGGACAGAACCCGGCUUACAGACUCUCUGGUUCC